Long non-coding RNA from Silurus meridionalis, 1616 nucleotides. RefSeq lists it as uncharacterized. The record is from RefSeq and is a predicted model, not a curated record. NCBI's taxonomy places the organism in Eukaryota, Metazoa, Chordata, Actinopteri, Siluriformes, Siluridae. The transcript is spliced from 2 exons.
UACAACUGUGUAAAAAGCUCCAAACACAGGAUUGUUUUUAUGCUUUGCACCAUUUUAUUUAAUUUUUGUAUACAAUCUAGAAGUAUUUAGUCCAGUGUCAUCAUUCAGAAACCUCUUAAACAAAACAAUUAGCAUUUUUAAUUCAUUCAUUUGCUAAUAGUAUUAAAUAAAUCUGGUCAAACGGCGUCGGUUCAGCGUUGGGGAUUUUUCUGCUGUCAGCAGAACUUCAUUUGUCGUGAUCUUUCAUUGUUCUGUCCUGUAAGGCCUCUUGGAAAGAUUUAUAAAAACAAAAACAAACAAACAAAAGAAUAAAUAGGCAUGUGCCGGUAUCACAAGAAAAUAAAAAAAAAAGGAAAAAUGUAAAAGUGUGAACGAACUCCAUGGUGUCUCACGGAGUCCGUUAGAUCUUCAUGUCUAGUGCAUGUGACACGUAUUUACUCUCGAUGCUCAACCACGUUCAGCUCGAAUGAUCGUGGGACGUGUGCUGAAAAUAUAGUGCGAGGGUUUACAGGCACAAGCCUCCUACAGGCAUAUAAUAAUAAUAAUUAAUAAUAAUUAAUAAUAAUAAUAAUAAUAAUAAUAAUAAGGCCAAAUCAUGUGAUCAAGUGGAAUCAUAUGGAUUCCUCUAGAAUUUCUUUCCAGAACAGUAAAAUAAUAAAAAAAGAAAUAAUAAAAUAAAAAAAAAAAAAAAAAAGUCACCAGAUACAAACGGGACUUUUGUUUGCAUCGUUAGUGUUCGUUUACUUCUUGAUGAAGGACAUCAGCGAUGUGAGUGGUUUAUGAGUGCGUGUGUCCGCGUGUACGAGACGGAGGAGGAGACGUGGCAAAAAAAUGUCCUAAGUGCAAAAAGGCAGAAGUCCCGCAUUAAUAAAAAGGGAACGUUUAUUUUAAAAAAAAAAAAAAAAAAAAAAGUAGCUAAAAUAUUGAAAAAUAAAAUUAUAUAUAUAUUUCUAUAUAAACCUCUUAAAUAUGUACAUGAUGUGCAAAUAAAAUCGGGUCGUAUUACACACACACUACAUACGAGAACGUGUAGGAGGUCGAGUCAGUGCGCACGCUUCCUUUACAGCAUUACGAUUGGCACUACUGUGGAGCUCCUUCGGAUGUGCAUAAACCCAGAAAGAAAAGAGAGAAAGAGAAAGAGAAAGAGAGAGAGAGAGAGAGAGAGAAAAUAUAUACAAUAUGACAGAUAAAAAGAUUUCCUUGGGUUAAAGUGCUCUUCAGCGGCCGAACUGCAACACAGCAGAAGCAACGACGGAAUAUAUAGGCAGCUUGAGGGUGUGUGUGUGUGUGUGUGUGUGUGUGUGUGUGUGUGUGUGUGUGUGUUUGUUUUUAACACGGUAUGAAUUCAUGCUGGAACCGCAUUUCUCCUCUUCGUGCCUUUCGACUAGAAUGUUAUCGAGGUACCUUGUCCAGUAGAUGUCCCUGUAACACUGUAGCUCAGAUUCCUGCCUCUCUGCUGCCCUCUAUGGUCAGUGACCUGCUGUAACACCAUGUUCUCAGCAACAAGGCGAACCUACGUUGUAUUCCGUUUGUAUUUUUCUAUCAGCCCAGGCUUACAGAAGCUGUUAUAUAUAUGUCUUUAUAAUGAACACAAUUAAAGCAAAGACGUCGCUUUA